CCACCUUUUCUUGAAGAGGCAUAUUCAUGGGAAACACCUUAUUGGAGCUCAUAGGAACUGUGGCGAUGGUGGAAUUGCUUUUCUUGUCAAAUAUUCUACAUUUUUCAUCAUAAAAAAAAACAGAAUAUCCUUUGCGUAGCAGUUGUCCAACACUAAGGAGGUUACUAGUCAAAUUAGGCACAUAAAGAACAUCACCAAUGAGCUUUUUGUUACCUCCUUUAGUUUGAACAGCGAUGGUUCCCUUUCCUUCAGUGCGAUGUAAC
RNAcentral lists this long non-coding RNA (263 nucleotides) under Olea europaea (common olive). RNAcentral's name for it is "long non-coding RNA (OEUR_LNC000263)". The record is from RNAcentral. Lineage: Eukaryota; Viridiplantae; Streptophyta; Magnoliopsida; Lamiales; Oleaceae.